ACCAUGGAGGACUAGUGGUUAGGCCUCAGCGCUCUCACCGCUGUGGCCUGGGAUCAAUUCCCAGCCAGGGAA
This 72-nucleotide transfer RNA is filed under the name Pangasius djambal. Its description in RNAcentral is "tRNA-Glu". It matches the Rfam family "tRNA". From Rfam's summary of the family: Transfer RNA (tRNA) molecules are approximately 80 nucleotides in length. Their secondary structure includes four short double-helical elements and three loops (D, anti-codon, and T loops). Lineage: Eukaryota; Metazoa; Chordata; Actinopteri; Siluriformes; Pangasiidae. The record is from RNAcentral.